RNAcentral lists this non-coding RNA (30 nucleotides) under Mus musculus (house mouse). The record is from RNAcentral. Lineage: Eukaryota; Metazoa; Chordata; Mammalia; Rodentia; Muridae.
UCAAGUCUUCUUUAAUUUGCUAGACAUAGA